RNAcentral lists this ribosomal RNA (253 nucleotides) under uncultured bacterium. RNAcentral describes it as "partial 16S ribosomal RNA". It matches the Rfam family "Bacterial small subunit ribosomal RNA", at positions 524 to 776 of the family's 1533-position model. The record is from RNAcentral.
UACGUAGGUGGCAAGCGUUGUCCGGAUUUACUGGGUGUAAAGGGCGUGCAGCCGGAGAAGCAAGUCUGAAGUGAAAGCCCGUGGCUUAACCACGGGACUGCUUUGGAAACUGUUUGACUAGAGUGCUGGAGAGGUAAGUGGAAUUCCUAGUGUAGCGGUGAAAUGCGUAGAUAUUAGGAGGAACACCAGUGGCGAAGGCGGCUUACUGGACAGUAACUGACGUUGAGGCUCGAAAGCGUGGGGAGCAAACAGG